UCCACGUUAGUGGUGUUAGUACCAAGGAAGACAGGGAAGACAAAAGCAGCUGCACGGGGUGCGGGGACACAGGAGCGGAAGAGCACAGAGCACAAACUUGUGGGUGAAGACACGACACGGAAGUCAAGGGGAAAACACGGGUGCUGAAGAUACUUCUGUGUGCGAGGACACCACAGGACACACUGGAGAGGGGACCUCUUGUAACUGACCUGGAAGUGCUUGGCUGUCUUGCUUGGCUUUGAAGCUGAAAGAAGCUGCUGUGCAGAGUUGAUGUCUGCACCACUGCCACUCCAUUGAUGUACUACUUAAACUUGUGUGAAAGAGAUGAGGAACAAACAUUGUGAGCUGGCAGUUCAGGAACUUUGGAUCGAUACUGUGCUUGCAACACGAAGGCAGAAAGUCCAGUUGCAGAGCAGCUUAACAGCUCCACAAAGACCUGGCUGUUUGGGCCGGGAGGCAGGAGAUCAAUGGUGUAAAAUAGGGAAGAAUUAACAAUGGUUGAAGAGCAAGGGGAGGACAGUCUGCUUUGACCUGGAGUGUUUCGAGACGACGGGCUUCACGAUGUCACCCUGAUAAUCGCUCCACUAGAGGAGGAUAAGACCAAACAAGAAUGGCUGUGAUAACGUAAUAGCUCCUCUGUGUCUGAGCAAAACAAUCAUUGGCAAGAAAAAACCUAGACAUUAUUAGUAUUGUGAAAACUAAGCUCCUUUUAAGGGUACGAAUUAAGGUUUUCUUGGUUUUUCUUUCACGUUAUAGUGUUAUUUGUUCUUAAACAAAACAAAAGUUUCAGCUAAUGAGGUAACCAUAUAUAAAAGUAAGCCCCGUGUGUCUAAAUCUCAGGCUUUAGACUGUUUGGCGCACUAGGGAUGCAGUGUUUUGACUGCUUUAGCGCUGAGCUGUGGUAAGCUUGUCAUGGAUUUCUUUUCAUGGUCAUCUAUUUGAGGCACAGCAGACCUAGAAAAUCAAACUUGUCUGUACAACAUAGUGA
Molecule: long non-coding RNA, 988 nt
Organism: Maylandia zebra (zebra mbuna)
Lineage: Eukaryota; Metazoa; Chordata; Actinopteri; Cichliformes; Cichlidae
Source: RefSeq, a predicted model, not a curated record